GACGUAGGGCGCAAGCGUUGUCCGGAUUUAUUGGGCGUAAAGAGCUCGUAGGCGGCCUGUCGCGUCGAUCGUGAAAUUCUACGGCUUAACUGUGGGAGUGCGGUCGAUACGGGUGGGCUAGAGUGCGGUAGGGGAGACUGGAAUUCCUGGUGUAGCGGUGAUAUGCGCAGAUAUCAGGAGGAACACCGGUGGCGAAGGCGGGUCUCUGGGCCGUUACUGACGCUGAGGAGCGAAAGCGUGGGGAGCGAACAGGAUUAGAAACC
This 263-nucleotide ribosomal RNA is filed under the name uncultured bacterium. Its description in RNAcentral is "partial 16S ribosomal RNA". It matches the Rfam family "Bacterial small subunit ribosomal RNA", at positions 524 to 786 of the family's 1533-position model. The record is from RNAcentral.